Molecule: ribosomal RNA, 468 nt
Filed under: uncultured bacterium
Lineage: Bacteria
Description: partial 16S ribosomal RNA
Rfam family: Bacterial small subunit ribosomal RNA
Source: RNAcentral
GACGAACGCUGGCGGCGUGCUUAACACAUGCAAGUCGAACGGAAAGGCCCUGCUUUUGUGGGGUGCUCGAGUGGCGAACGGGUGAGUAACACGUGAGUAACCUGCCCUUGACUUUGGGAUAACUUCAGGAAACUGGGGCUAAUACCGGAUAGGAGCUCCUGCUGCAUGGUGGGGGUUGGAAAGUUUCGGCGGUUGGGGAUGGACUCGCGGCUUAUCAGCUUGUUGGUGGGGUAGUGGCUUACCAAGGCUUUGACGGGUAGCCGGCCUGAGAGGGUGACCGGCCACAUUGGGACUGAGAUACGGCCCAGAGUGCUACGGGAGGCAGCAGGGGGGAAUAUUGCACAAUGGGCGGAAGCCUGAUGCAGCAACGCCGCGUGCGGGAUGACGGCCUUCGGGGUGUAAACCGCUUUGGCCUGUGACGAAGCGUGAGUGACGGUAAUGGGUAAAGAAGCACCGGCUAACUACGUG